ACUUACGUUGAAAAGUGAGCGGAUGAACUGAGGGUAGCGGAGAAAUUCCAAUCGAACCUGGAGAUAGCUGGUUCUCUCCGAAAUAGCUUUAGGGCUAGCCUCAAGUGAUGAUUAUUGGAGGUAGAGCACUGUUUGGACGAGGGGCCCCUCUCGGGUUACCGAAUUCAGACAAACUCCGAAUGCCAAUUAAUUUAACUUGGGAGUCAGAACAUGGGUGAUAAGGUCCGUGUUCGAAAGGGAAACAGCCCAGACCACCAGCUAAGGUCCCAAAAUAUAUGUUAAGUGGAAAAGGAUGUGGCGUUGCCCAGACAACUAGGAUGUUGGCUUAGAAGCAGCCAUCAUUUAAAGAGUGCGUAAUAGCUCACUAGUCGAGUGACACUGCGCCGAAAAUGUACCGGGGCUAAACAUAUUACCGAAGCUGUGGAUUGUCCUUUGGACAAUGGUAGGAGAGCGUUCUAAGGGCGUUGAAGCAUGAUCGUAAGGACAUGUGGAGCGCUUAGAAGUGAGAAUGCCGGUGUGAGUAGCGAAAGACGGGUGAGAAUCCCGUCCACCGAUUGACUAAGGUUUCCAGAGGAAGGCUCGUCCGCUCUGGGUUAGUCGGGU
This 603-nucleotide ribosomal RNA is filed under the name Staphylococcus aureus. RNAcentral describes it as "partial 23S ribosomal RNA". It matches the Rfam family "Bacterial large subunit ribosomal RNA", at positions 782 to 1389 of the family's 2925-position model. Lineage: Bacteria; Bacillati; Bacillota; Bacilli; Caryophanales; Staphylococcaceae. The record is from RNAcentral.